RNAcentral lists this ribosomal RNA (491 nucleotides) under uncultured bacterium. RNAcentral's name for it is "partial 16S ribosomal RNA". It matches the Rfam family "Bacterial small subunit ribosomal RNA", at positions 28 to 507 of the family's 1533-position model. The record is from RNAcentral.
GAUGAACGCUGGCUACAGGCUUAACACAUGCAAGUCGAGGGGAAACGACGGGGAAGCUUGCUUCCCCGGGCGUCGACCGGCGCACGGGUGAGUAACGCGUAUCCAACCUGCCUCUGACUGAGGGAUAACCCGUCGAAAGUCGGCCUAAUACCUCAUGGCAUCGUCUGCGGGCAUCCAACGACGAUUAAAGAUUUCAUCGGUCAGGGAUGGGGAUGCGUCUGAUUAGCUUGUUGGCGGGGUAACGGCCCACCAAGGCUACGAUCAGUAGGGGUUCUGAGAGGAAGGUCCCCCACAUUGGAACUGAGACACGGUCCAAACUCCUACGGGAGGCAGCAGUGAGGAAUAUUGGUCAAUGGGCGGGAGCCUGAACCAGCCAAGUAGCGUGCAGGAUGACGGCCCUAUGGGUUGUAAACUGCUUUUAUGCGGGGAUAAAGUGAGGGACGUGUCCUUCAUUGCAGGUACCGCAUGAAUAAGGACCGGCUAAUUCCGCG